AGCUAACGCGUUAAGUCGACCGCCUGGGGAGUACGGCCGCAAGGUUAAAACUCAAAUGAAUUGACGGGGGCCCGCACAAGCGGUGGAGCAUGUGGUUUAAUUCGAUGCAACGCGAAGAACCUUACCUGGUCUUGACAUCCACAGAACUUUCCAGAGAUGGAUUGGUGCCUUCGGGAACUGUGAGACAGGUGCUGCAUGGCUGUCGUCAGCUCGUGUUGUGAAAUGUUGGGUUAAGUCCCGCAACGAGCGCAACCCUUAUCCUUUGUUGCCAGCGGUCCGGCCGGGAACUCAAAGGAGACUGCCAGUGAUAAACUGGAGGAAGGUGGGGAUGACGUCAAGUCAUCAUGGCCCUUACGACCAGGGCUACACACGUGCUACAAUGGCGCAUACAAAGAGAAGCGACCUCGCGAGAGCAAGCGGACCUCAUAAAGUGCGUCGUAGUCCGGAUUGGAGUCUGCAACUCGACUCCAUGAAGUCGGAAUCGCUAGUAAUCGUGGAUCAGAAUGCCACGGUGAAUACGUUCCCGGGCCUUGUACACACCGCCCGUCACACCAUGGGAGUGGGUUGCAAAAGAAGUAGGUAGCUUAACCUUCGGGAGGGCGCUUACCACUUUGUGAUUCAUGACUGGGGUGAAGUCGUAACAAGGUAACCGUAGGGGAACCUGCGGUUGGAUCACCUCCUU
Molecule: ribosomal RNA, 682 nt
Filed under: Escherichia coli
Lineage: Bacteria; Pseudomonadati; Pseudomonadota; Gammaproteobacteria; Enterobacterales; Enterobacteriaceae
Description: bacterial SSU rRNA
Rfam family: Bacterial small subunit ribosomal RNA
Source: RNAcentral